UUCAACACCCUGUGUGAUCAGGUCCCAGUUUACCCAUUCACCUUAUUCUAAGAUCCAGUUUCACAGACCUUAAUUUUAUUUUUAAAAUUAUGAAAAUGUUUAAACAGACUGAAAGAUAACAAAGAAUCCAUAUAACCAUUUUCCAAAGUAAACAAGAUCUGCAUCUCUAAAAAAAAUAUGAACAUCUUACUUAUUUCCAUCUUCUUUUAUCUAGCCAGGUUAACAUAGUUUCUAAGGUAAGAUGGUGCGUCCAAUGCCCAGCCUUGGAGAAACAAUUUCGUUGGGCUUGUCAUUCUAUAAAUCGGUAUAACAGCAAUAUAUACCUCAUAUUAUUGUCAUGGUGAAUACAUGAAUUCAUACAUUUAAAAAGCUUGCAACAGUGUUUGGCAUACAGUACAUACUUAAUAAGUGAAGCCAUUAUCAUUUAGGAAAAGCCACACACCUCCCUACCUCAAAGCCCUGGCACAAACUAUAAACACAAUUCUUCUCUUGCCCUCUCAGACGGUUUAAUGCAGUUAUUUGAAAUUAGUAACUUUUGAGGCUGAUUAACCCAUUACACUAGGAGGAAGCACCAAGAGGGGAAAGGAUGAUUUCUGUUUGGCUGUUUUACUUUUACUAAACUUAUUGGGGUGACAUUAGUCAAUAACAUUAUAUAAUUUUGGCUGUUUUAAAUUUCCAACAAUACAAAGUUCAUCUAAUUUAUUUUGGAUCACAUUCUCUAUCAACACGUAUGUAGCUAAUUAUGAUAAAUUUAAU
This is a long non-coding RNA of Pipistrellus kuhlii (Kuhl's pipistrelle), 756 nucleotides long. RefSeq lists it as uncharacterized. NCBI's taxonomy places the organism in Eukaryota, Metazoa, Chordata, Mammalia, Chiroptera, Vespertilionidae. The transcript is spliced from 2 exons. The record is from RefSeq and is a predicted model, not a curated record.